UUGGUUGAUGAGUCGACCCCACUACCUCCAUGGUUCUCAGAGGAAGAUCUUGCAGCUUAUGCAUCCUUGUAUGAGAAGUCUGGGUUCCGCUUUGCCCUGCAGGUUCCAUAUAGGUAACCAUAGCAAACACUGACUCGGGGGAAAUAAAAUGAGAAAAAUGUAAUUCUAGUUACCAAAAUUGUUCUAGCUAAAAACCAAUCAAUCAGCAACUGCUGAUUAAGAUCUAUAUGUCAUCUUACUCGCAUUUUUGGUCUAGGUCUAUGGGGAAGGAAUAUGCCAUAGUGGAUCCAAAAGUUACAGCUCCGGCGCUGCUGAUCAUGGGAGAGAAAGACUAUGUCCUGAAGUUUCCAGGCAUGGAGGACUACAUAAGGACUGGGCAAGUGAAGCAUUUUGUCCCUAACUUAGACGUCACCUUCAUGCCGGAAGGGAGCCAUUUUGUCCAUGAGCAACUUCCAGAGCAAGUGAAUAGUCUUGUAGUUGACUUCCUGAACAAGCAAAAUAUCUAAAUGUGAGUCCCUGACUACGGCAGAAGUUCGUCUUGGUGAGAAUAAAUAAACUCAUUUGACGCUUUUCACUACUUGCGAUCACUAAGAAUUCCUGGCUUCCUACUUAAGGAUGAUGAGGCCUUCUAUUUGAAUGUCACCAGUAGUGAACUCUCAUGUUUCAUUAGCUUUGAAAAUGACUCUGCAAAUUUUGAUCAUUAGAGUCCAAUAAAAGCAAAUAUCCUGCAUUUCACUGGCAGAAUGAAUUAGAAAUAUAAAUGCACACCGAAUUUCAAGGGGGAGUUUGAUAGCAAUUUCUCUGGCAGUACUUUUUAUGCAAUUCAGCAGAGCAGGUCUGCAGCUUUUAGCGCACUCAUGUUACGUAUAAGCAGCGCCCAUAAGUAAUGUAUCUCUUCUUCAGUAUACUUUGUAAACGCCUUCGGGGCACUUGUAAAAGAAGAGAGAGAAUUGGAAUGGUGGUUAAAAGAGAGUGUAAUGGAGAAAACUGAGGAAUGAUUGGUGGAGAAAACAGAGCAUCUCAGCGUGGUUUGAGAGAGAGAUUAUGGAAAAUAGAAAAAUUUGUGAUUUAACUUCAAUUGUAGACCGGUAGAUCCUUAUAACACUGCUUCACAACCUAAACUCAUUGGUGACUACACAGAACAUUAGUUCACUCAUUACGCAAAAUAUAACUUGUAAUAUCCAACUGACCAGAUAGGCAUGAAUCAUGAAAAAAGUCAGGGACAAAGCAUAUUACAAAUUUACUAGCACGUAGAUCUUGCAUGUCCAGACUACAUGGAUUAUAUUAACUAGGAUGAUUAUGUGACAAUAAUUCAACUCUUCAUCGAUUGAAAGUGAUUGUUUUAGUAGUGUCCUUGUAGUCUAGAGGAAUCAUGUUAACUAGAAUGAAAAAAGAAAUUGAGAGUACUUCAACUUUCAACCACUAAAACAUGGAAAAGAUCAAUGUAGGGCUUUUUUUAACCUCUUAGAAAGUAAUUUUGUUAAUUAGGCAAAUGAGCAGCGGAAUUUUAAACGAUAUUUUUGUUAGCUUCUUAAAAAGUGACCUUGUUAAUUCGUUUAAUAUGCGUUUCAAGUGAAAAAACUUUACGUUCUUCAGCUGAUGCUGAGGAGCUAGUGUGGAAUAGAGGGCUCUUAAGGAGAGUUGGUAUAUGCCAUGGGAAAAAUGGGAAUGCUAUGUAUUUCUGUCGCUCUAUCGAGCAACUGGUAACAAGUUCUGAUACAGGAGUUCCUAACUGUUUAGGCAGGAAUAUGCCAUCACUAAAUCAUUCGAAUGCUUCCGCAACUAGGACAAAAAAAAAAAUAGCGAAGCAAAUCCUGCAAGAUUUUUCUAACAUUACAUUGAUUGGGCAUGGCAUGAUAUUUUUCUUCUCUUUUUUUUUGCAUCUAAAAAUGAAAAAAAGCAUACGGUCAUUGCCGCAGCUACUAGUUGUCCAGAUUAUUAGGAAAUAAAGAUAAGCAUGAUUGGAAAGACCAUUCUUAACCCUAAACAUGAAUUUUCUAAUGGUUUUUUUGUUCACGUUUUCUUAUGAUUCCAUUUCUCGUGAAUUAGAAUCUCAACAUUUCAGCAGACCGUCUGAUCUGUUAUUCUUUCAACACUUAAAUUUUCAGCUUUUUACGACAUGAACUGUCAAAUCAUCAACUUAAUGAACUUGCCAAUCUAAUGGUAAAAAAAAAAAGUGAAAAGCAUUGGAACAUGGGAUCAGGGAACCCUCACUACUUAUCUUUCUAUUAAGAAUAAAUCGUUUGGACUCACGUGCACAAUUGUAAUUGGCAGAUUAUCCAAGCCGAGGCUGCUCUUGAGACCGUUGAAAUACUUGCUUGUCCUAUUUGGGGGGAGGUUCUAUCUGCCUUGUCUUUUUCGUACAAACCAAUUAGUCUAAAAUUACAGCAAAGGCCACCUACAUAGUCGUACUCAUCCCUCUCUCCUCACCUACCUCUCUCUCUCUCUUUCUCUCUAUCCCCCCUCUGUUGGUGAGUGCGCGUGUUAUAGGAAAGAUGGAGAAAAUCAAGCACAGCCAUGUAGCAGUGAGAGAUGUGAAGCUUCAUGUUGCUGAAAUUGGAGAAGGUACAGGGAAGUGUAGGGAGAGAGAUGCACAUCCAUGACUUGUUCAGUGACAUUCCCUCACAUGUGCUGCUGAGUUCUCUGCAGGUCCAAAGGUGGUGGUGUUCUUGCAUGGGUUCCCAGAGAUAUGGUACACGUGGAGGCACCAAAUGAUAGGCGUGGCCGAUGCAGGGUACCGCGCCAUCGCCUUCGAUUUCAGAGGCUAUGGGCUCUCCGAUCAGCCGAAUGACCCUGAGAAGGGUUCUUUUGCUGAUCUUGUUGACGAUGUUGUUGCCCUCCUUGAUGCUCUGGGCAUUGAAAAGGUACCACUAAAUUAAUCUGUCACACUUAAAUUCUUUUUUUCCCUUUCAGAAACACUAACCUUGGCAAAAUUUUUGCUUUUGAUAGUUGAGCCUUGAGAAUCUUUCAUAUAAUAAUUCAUCAUCUUCUUCCUUGUCCUCAGUUAGUUCCAAAAAAAUGCUGCCUUUCAUGCAUGUUCUCUGUUUGUUUUUGGCCAAUUGCUUAUUUUGAUAUUUCAGUCAGUCCAGGACCGUCAGUAAUAAAACGGAUUCUUGUCAUGACACCAUCAAUAUUACAAUGCAAUCGUCAUUGAACCAUCAAUCUACAGAGGUUGAGCUUCUUGAUGUGGAUGUUUCUUGGUCAAACAAGAAAAACAAUUCUUUUGUUUCUAUAUAUAUUCACAUGACCAUUAGCUUAAUGAAAGUGCAUAUGCUUGAGGUGUAAGUACUGUCCUUUUGUACGUUGUCUUCAUCUCUCUCUGUCCUUCACCUAUCUUCUAAGAUAGGUACGUUUUAUUUAUGAACUGAUAAAUUUAAAGAAGGAUCCGUGUCAUAACAACCAAGAACAUUUUAUACUUUUAAGGUCACACAUACAAGGGACGUCCUCCUUGACCGAGCUUGAGACCUACGAGUUAGAAAACGAUCUCUAUUGCGAAUGAUAAUCAAUUUGUUUCUAAAACUGAUGAUAACUAACUUACUUUUUUCCUUAGUCAGGUCAUUCCCUAUGCAAGCAUAGCAAUUUAACAAGAGCAUAAAUAAGAUGAUGAUCUAGCAAUAAACAAGAGACAAGACUACAAAAUCAACUGUCAUGAGAACUGAAACAGAUACAAAAUCAAGAGAUUACAGGAUGAUUAUGUGAGUUAAAAUGUAAUGUCCAUUGAUAAUAUGGAGUGUUGAAUCCAGGCCUUCCUGGUGGGGAAGGACUUUGGAGCUCUGCCAGCAUACCUAGUAGCAGCGGUCAAGCCAGAGAGGGUCUGUGGAGUCAUCACACUGGGCGUCCCCUUCAUGCUACCCGGAACCUCGGUCCUCCCAUGGCAUCUCUUUCCCAAAGGCUUUUACAUGCUCAGGUGGCAGGUAAAAUUCUCUCUCUCUCUCUCUCUCUCUCACCCCCGCCCAUCCACCACCUCUACUAACUCCUCGAUUGACUUCAGGAACCUGGGCGAGCAGAAGCUGACUUUGGUAGGCUAGAUGUCAAGACAGUCAUAAGAAACAUCUACAUUCUCUUCUCCAGGAGCGAGCUCCCUGUUGCAGGUGAUGAUCAGGAGAUCAUGGACUUGGUUGAUGAGUCGACCCCGCUACCUCCAUGGUUCUCCGAGGAUGAUCUCGCGGCCUAUGCAUCCUUGUAUGAGAAGUCUGGGUUCCGGUUUGCCCUGCAGGUCCCAUACAGGUAAUCAUAGCAAACACUGAUUCACGGAAAAUUAAAGGAGAGAAAUCCGAUUCUAGAUACGAAAAUUGUUCUAGCUGAAAACCAAUCAAUCCGCAACCACUGUUUAAGGUUUAUAAGGGAGAGAAUUUACAAGAUAUGAUCUAUUUGCAUCUAACUAUCAAUUCAUAUUGAAAAAAAAAAAAGAGAAAUCCUUUAUUCCGAAAUGUUUUGAUAAGUCAUCUUACUCGCAUUUUUGGUCUAGGUCUCUGGGGAAGGAAUAUGCCAUGGUGGAUCCAAAAGUUACAGCUCCGGCGCUGCUGAUCAUGGGAGAGAAAGACUAUGUCCUGAAGUUUCCAGGCAUGGAGGACUACAUAAGGGCUGGCCAAGUGAAGCAUUUUGUCCCUAACUUAGACAUCACCUUCAUGCCGGAAGGGAGCCAUUUCGUCCAUGAGCAACUACCAGAGCAAGUGAACAGUCUUGUAGUUGACUUCCUGAACAAGCAAAAUAUCUAAUUACGAGUCCCUGACUAUGGCAGAAUUUGGUCUUGGUGAGAGUAAAUGAACUCAUUCAACGCUUUUCAGUAUCUGUAAUCACCAAGGAUUCUUAGCUUCCUACUUAAGGAUGAUGAGACCUUCUAACUCUCAUGUUUCAUUAGCUUUGAAAAUGUAUGAAUUUGGAAAAUGAAGACUCUGCAAGUUUUGAUUAUUAGAGUCUAUAAAAGCAAAUAUCCUGAUCUCACAAGCAAAAAAAUUCAGAUUAUCCAUGCAUAUUGAUUUACAAGGAGGAGUUUGAUAGCAAUUUCUCGCAGAGUACUUAUAACCAAAUUUAGCAGGGCAGGUCUGCAGCUUUUAGCGCACUCGUGUUACGUAUAAGCAUCACCUAAAACUAACGUAUUUCAUCUUCAGUGUAUUUAGUAAAUGCCUUUGGGGCACCUGUAAAAGAAGGGAGAGUAUUGGAUCGGUGGUCAAAGGAGAGUGUAAUGGAGAAAACUGAGGAAUGAUAAGAGUGAUGGAGAAAACAGAGAAUCCCUUUGUGGUUGGAAAGAGAGAUUAUGAAAAUAGACAAAUUUGUGAUUUAACUUUAAUUUAAGACCGAUAGAUCUUCACACCACUGCUUCACAACCCAAACUCAUGGGUGACUACUACCCAGAACAUAAGUUCUUUCAUUACACAGAACAUAAGUUGCUGAUAUCCAACUGACCAGAUAGGCAUGAAUCAUGAAAAAUGUCAGGGACAAAGCAUAUUAUAGAUUUACUAGCAUGUUGAUCUUGCAUGUCCAGACUACAUGCAUCAUAUUAACUAGGAUGAAUAUGUGACAAUAAUUCAACUCUUCAUCAAUUGAAAUGAACUCGAAAAUCCAUCUCCACAGGACUUUUUUCAGCUUCUUAAAGAGUGAUUUUGUUAGUACAUUCCAUGUCGUCUAGAGGAUUCAUGUUAACUAGAAUGAAACUUUCAACCACUAAAACAUGGAAAAUAUCAAUGUAGGGCCUUUUUCCUGACCUCUUAGAAAGUAAUUUUGUUAAUUAGACAAAUGAGCAACAGAACUUUAACAGGAUAAUUUUGUUAGCUUCUUGAAAAGCGACCUUUUUAAUUUGUUUAAUAGCCGUUUCGAGUGACAAAUUUUUACGUUCUUCAGCUGAUGCUGAGGAGGUAGUGUGGAACAGAGGGCUGUUAAGGAGAGUUGGUGUAUGCCAUAGGAUUGGUGGGAACGCUUAUGUAUUUCUCUCGCUCUACUGAGUCAGAGUCACAGGCAACGAGGAGUCCUGGUACAGAAGUUUUUUUUUUUUUUUUUUUUGUCCUGGUACAGAAGUUAAUUAACUGUUUAGGCAGGGAUAUACCAUCACGAAACCAUUUGAAUGCUUCCACAAGUAGGACAAGGAAAAUAGUCAAGCAGAUCCCGCAAGAUUUUUCUAACAUUGAUUGGGCAAGGCAUGAUAUUUUUCUUUUCUUCUUUUGCAUCUAAAAAUGAAAAAUGUUGAUGGUGAUUUUGCUGUUUUGCAGUUACUAGCCAUCCAGAUGAUUAGGAAAUAAAUAAAAGCACAAUUGGAAAGACCAUUCUUUAACCCUAAGCUUCGAUUCUGUGAUACUUUUAUUGGUAGACAAUGUCUUAUCAUGUCUUAUCAUAUCAGUUCUGGUCAAUUAUAUUCACAUCCUUUCAGCGGACUACUCACUAAACACUUCAAAUUUUCAGCUUUUUAAGACAUAAGCUGUCAAAGCGUGAACUUAAUGAAUCGUUUGGAGCAAUGCGCACAACUGGAUUAGCAAACUAUUCUAAGCCAAGGAUGCUCUUGAGGAUCUACAACUUUGCGUUGAAACAAUUGCUUGUCUUAUUUGGGAGGAAGUUAUAUCUGCCUUGUCAGCAUUUUCGGAGAAAUCAAUGAUUUAACUACCACAAAGGCCAUCUAUAAUGUCAAGCUAAUAACUCCUCACCUACUUCCCUCUCCCUCUCCCUCUCUCUCUCUCUCUCUCGCUCUCUCUUCCUCUUCCCCCCCCCCCCCCCCUAUAAUUUUCACAGUAAUGACAUUUCAACAAUAUGGUCAUACAUUUUAAAAUUUACAUAUGUAAUGACAUCAAAAUGAUCAAAAAGGUAAAAAGAUACCUUGAUGUGAGAUUCCCAUAUACUUGGAUCGUCGACAACAACUCUUUUAUUCAAUUAUCCCAACCAAAUCCAGACUGAGACAUAAGUUUUUGAAAACUGCUAUACUGUUUUCUCAAUUUGGUUACCUUGUUCCUCAGGUGGACCAUGCUAUAUGGGCAUCCUGUUUGGCUAACGAAUUCAUUAUGGAUAUUCCUCCACCCUACUUUGUUGAAAGGAGAAGAUGUGCGAUUUUCCUUUUUGACCUCAUCCACCAACGAACUGAUAAAUAGGUUGGUUACAGACUGGGUCCACUUUGCACUGAAUGUCUGUCUCUUAGAUGCCAUUUAAUCUUUGACUAGUUGAGUAGGAUAUGAGUUAUGAGUUAAAUCGAUGACGUAAUACUGUACAUGGCAUUCACAAAUCAUUUCUCAGAGAUGCAAGCGGAGUAGACUAUGAUGACAAAAUUGACAAUCUUGAACUAACUUGGAUAAACAGAUCUACGUUGCUUUUUCAGCUACAGACUACGUAGUACUAUGACUAUCAUGGAUCAUUGAGCAAAAUGCUCCAAAUGAGUGAAGAGGCUUGUGAGGAACCCAGCAUGGCCAAUUAGCAGGUCAUAUUUCCAACACCUNNNNNNNNNNNNNNNNNNNNNNNNNNNNNNNNNNNNNNNNNNNNNNNNNNNNNNNNNNNNNNNNNNNNNNNNNNNNNNNNNNNNNNNNNNNNNNNNNNNNCUCGCUUGCGUAAAGGAAAGUGUAGAGAGAGAGAGAGAGAGAGAGAGAGACGCACAUACAUGACUUGUUCAGUGACAUUAUCUCACAUGUGCUGCUGAGUUCAUC
This 7619-nucleotide long non-coding RNA is filed under the name Eucalyptus grandis. Its description in RNAcentral is "long non-coding RNA (EGRA_LNC000249)". Lineage: Eukaryota; Viridiplantae; Streptophyta; Magnoliopsida; Myrtales; Myrtaceae. The record is from RNAcentral.